Molecule: long non-coding RNA, 502 nt
Organism: Mytilus trossulus (common blue mussel)
Lineage: Eukaryota; Metazoa; Mollusca; Bivalvia; Mytilida; Mytilidae
Exons: 3
Source: RefSeq, a predicted model, not a curated record
CCAUUAUCGCCUAUGGAAAAAACAAUUAAAGAUAUUGAGCCAAAUUACAAAAAGAUAAAUCAGAAGUUUCCAGAGUGAUCUAUGGAUGAUUUCACCUUAUACACCCGGGAAAAUUGUGAAAAUGAUGUUCCAGACAUAUCAUUACUUUUUAACCUGAGAUGACAAACUAGAGGUUUUAAAAGGUCCUGAAUAACUGAAAUGGACAAAAAUACACAGAUUUAUUCAGAAUGUCAUACCGAUGAAGAUCACAUAAAAAUAUUUGGAAAAAUCAGAACUAUGGAUUGCAAUAUGGGACAACAUCCCUAAUGCGCCUUGAAAUGAGGAACUCAAAAGUCACGUGUAAAGAAAAAAUCUCUGUGUAGUGAUAUUGGACAUGUUUCUAUUUUUAACAAAUGACUGAACUUAAUUAUUUGUGGUGAUUAGGAAAGUAGAGGAACAUAGAAUAAAUGUGUAAAAACUAUGGAGCUAUUGAAUGUGUUCAAAGUAUUAAAUUUUCAAAGAA